AUACUUUUAAAGAUAAAAAUAAUAAGCCAGGUCUCUUAAUACUUAUCUAAAGAAGUGUUUGUAUAACAUUUAAUAAAAUGUUUUAUCUCAGUGGCAUUUGGAUUUAAAAAUUAUUUUGGGCUGUCACAGAAUGUUGACUUUUCCUAAUCUGUUACAUAGGGCCAUGGGUCUGGAUUUCCAGGAAAGCGGAGACCUCGAGGUGCAGGACUGUCGGGGCGAGGUGGCCGAGGCAGGUCAAAGCUGAAAAGUGGAAUCGGAGCUGUUGUAUUGCCUGGGGUGUCUACUGCAGAUAUUUCAUCAAAUAAGGAUGAUGAAGAAAACUCUGUGCUCGAUAUGGUUGUGUUGUUUUCUAGCAGUGACAAAUUCACUUUGAAUCAGGUUUGAACUUGACAAUUUACUGUCUUCCUCAUUGAAUUCCUCCUUGCACAUUUCUGCUUUAUCUCAUAUACACAGAAGUGAUCCAAUAUUUAGCUAUAGAGCUAUAUUAGUUAAGAAGGUAUUUUUAAAGUAAAAUUUGUAGGUUUUUAGCUUAGUCUCCAUUUAAAAUAUGUUCUGUUUUCUUAACUUCAGGAUAUAUGUGUAGUUUGUGGCAGUUUUGGCCAAGGAGCAGAAGGAAGAUUACUUGCCUGUUCUCAGUGUGGUCAGUGUUACCAUCCAUACUGUGUCAGUAUUAAGGUAAACAUCCUUAAACUGAGUUAACAAAUAUGUAUUGAAUUUUUAUUUGGUUUUAGUAGUAACAUGAGCUCCCAGUUCUCACAAUUAAGUAUUAUGAUUAUUAAACAUAUGUGACAGUAUUUAAGUACUUUAAAUACUGCUUUUAAGGGUUUCCUAUCUCAAGAAAUUUGCUCCUCUAUAAAUCUUAUAUUGUACUAAUAUCCUGCUUUUGUCUUGAAAAAGUAAAACAUAAAAAUAUAUGCAUUUAAUUUAAAAGACAAUUUAUACUAUUCACAAAGAUUUUAGGUUUAGCUGAUUCAUUUUGUCUGUUG
This 986-nucleotide long non-coding RNA is filed under the name Homo sapiens (human). RNAcentral's name for it is "HSALNT0295161". The record is from RNAcentral. Lineage: Eukaryota; Metazoa; Chordata; Mammalia; Primates; Hominidae.